CCAUCCAGCAAAACACCAGUCUCCACCCUCUCUCGAUGCCCUCAAUCAACACAGGCUAAGUACAGUUCUACUGCCCUUUACUCAUACAAUAAGAACAACAACAUUUCA
This is a long non-coding RNA of Gopherus evgoodei (Goodes thornscrub tortoise), 108 nucleotides long. RefSeq lists it as uncharacterized. The record is from RefSeq and is a predicted model, not a curated record. The transcript has 3 exons. Lineage: Eukaryota; Metazoa; Chordata; Testudines; Testudinidae.